GACGAACGCUGGCGGCGUGCUUAACACAUGCAAGUCGAACGGAAAGGCCUGCUUUCCCUUGUGGAUUGCGGGUACUCGAGUGGCGAACGGGUGAGUAACACGUGAGUGAUCUGCCCCCAACUUAGGUAUAAGCCUGGGAAACUGGGUCUAAUUCCCGAUAGGACUGCAGGGUGGUGCCUGUGGUGGAAAACGAUUUUCUAGUGGUUGGGGAUGAGCUCGCGGCCUAUCAGCUUGUUGGUGGGGUAAUGGCCUACCAAGGCGGCGACGGGUAGCCGGCCUGAGAGGGUGGACGGCCACAUUGGGACUGAGAUACGGCCCAGACUCCUACGGGAGGCAGCAGUGGGGAAUAUUGCACAAUGGGCGGAAGCCUGAUGCAGCGACGCCGCGUGGGGGAUGACGGCCUUCGGGUUGUAAACUCCUUUCGACCGCGAGGAAGCCACCUGGUUGGAAGGGUGGUGACGGUAGUGGUAGAAGAAGCACCGGCUAACUACGUG
This 494-nucleotide ribosomal RNA is filed under the name uncultured bacterium. RNAcentral describes it as "partial 16S ribosomal RNA". It matches the Rfam family "Bacterial small subunit ribosomal RNA", at positions 28 to 507 of the family's 1533-position model. The record is from RNAcentral.